Molecule: ribosomal RNA, 376 nt
Filed under: uncultured eukaryote
Lineage: Eukaryota
Description: SSU rRNA
Rfam family: Eukaryotic small subunit ribosomal RNA
Source: RNAcentral
AGCUCUCAAAAUGCAUAGAAUUAUUGCUGCGGUUAAAAAGCUCGUAGUUGGAUCUGUGCUGGGAACUGGGUCCGCCUUCGGGUGUGCACUCAGCUUCCCGGCUUUUUGCUGGUUUUCCCGUUGUGGCCUUUACCGGUUGCAGCGGGUGGCUGGCGAGUUUACCUUGAAGAAAUCAAAGUGCUUAAUACAGGCGAUUUGCUUGAAUGUGGUGCAUGGAAUAAUAGAAAAGGAUUUCGGUUCUCUUUUAUUGGUUUUACGAGCUGAGAUAAUGGUUAACAGAGACAAACGGGGGCAUUCGUAUCGUUGCGUGAGAGGUGAAAUUCUUGGACCGCAGCGAGACGAACUACAGCGAAAGCAUUUGCCAAGAAUGUCUUCA